UCAAACUUGGUCAUUUAGAGGAAGUAAAAGUCGUAACAAGGUUUCCGUAGGUGAACCUGCGGAAGGAUCAUUACUGUAAGAUAAUGGGGAUCUUGAGACUGCGUUUUUCUACGUGUGCUCGGUCCUUACUUCUUUCAUCCACACACACCUUUGUGCACUAUGGGGAUGUCAAAGUCCCCCUUUUUACAUUAAACACCGAGUUUUAUUAUGCAUGUUUUUAUAAAUACUCUAAGGAGUAAAAUGUACAACUUUCAACAACGGAUCUCUUGGCUUUCGCAUCGAUGAAGAACGCAGC
Molecule: unclassified non-coding RNA, 295 nt
Filed under: uncultured fungus
Lineage: Eukaryota; Fungi
Description: partial contains small subunit ribosomal RNA, internal transcribed spacer 1, and 5.8S ribosomal RNA
Rfam family: Eukaryotic small subunit ribosomal RNA (bases 1-73)
Source: RNAcentral